Non-coding RNA from Pelodiscus sinensis (Chinese soft-shelled turtle), 1184 nucleotides. Lineage: Eukaryota; Metazoa; Chordata; Testudines; Trionychidae. The record is from RefSeq and is a predicted model, not a curated record.
CGGGAAGCCUGAAUCGUGCGCCUCAUGCUGAUCCCAUUCUCUGACAGCCCUGUCACAGGGGAUCAAGAAGAAGGAUCCUUUAAAAUCCUGGAAACUGAGAAACUGCAGUAUGUGCAACUAAAAACAGAAAGCUACAGCUAAGGUUCUGCUGCUGUUAGUUGACUUACCCCAUAUGUACUGAGGAUUUACUUGAGCUGUAGCUCUCCAAGCACUUAACAAUCAAGGUGGAAAUAUUUUAAAGUCCACUCCUUUGAUCCUGUUGUAGCAUUAAACCAUUUCCAAGCAGUUUCAGUAGAUUGGGUUCUUCAGCUUAUUCCUCUUAUCCUGCUCCUGAAAAUCCCUUUAAUGUGAAACUUAAAGAAAAAAUCGUUGCAAUACACUUAAAGUGAAAGACAAGAUGGGUUGUCACAGCCUUAAAAUAUCCACCUGAUGAGGUGGAGACACUGAUGAAGGACAGCAUUCACUGCUAAAGACAGAGGGGGCAGCCAGCUAUUACUUUGAUACUAUUGUUUUUGUGUUAUCAUAGUCUGAAAGCUCUGAUAAGAGCCAGAGUGCCUGUCUGAACUGUACCUUAGUGCUUGUUAUAUUGAUUGCUGGACCUCAAACCAGCCUUCCUAUGAAAUGGCCAUUCAUCACUUCGGAGUAAACUAACAUAUCCCUAGCUGCAGCUCUAUGCCUGAUGUGUGGUAAGGGUCUUUUUUAGAUAAAGAAACAAUGUGUAAGAUGAAACUAGAAGUAAGAGCUGUGAUUUAUAUUUUGGCUUUUCUUUGUGCGAGAGAUUCAAUACAUGAUAUCUAGAGGUCAUCUUGUUCACUAUCUACUCGGUGUCGAUUGUGCUUCCCAGACUACAUUGAAACAAACUCCCCUGCAAAUCCACUCAGCUAGUUUAUUCCUCUAUAGACAAGGAGAAAAGUUGCCAUUGUUACAUUUUUGUGAAUUAGUGUGAUAAGUACUUUAGCUGCAUUGGUCCCAGGUCAGAAGGAGAACUCUGUGCAGCUCAACAGCUUGUCUCUUCCACCAGAAAAAAAUUAUCAUAUAAAAGACAUUCCCUUACUCACCUUGUCUGUUUGAUAGAAAAAAGAAUCUCUCUUACCCCUUAACUAAAAUUGUGCAAAAUGCAAAGGCUGUGUGUUGUGUCUCUGUUUCAAAUCUCACUGAAAAUGCACUCACUAUUACAGAGGCAG